This 253-nucleotide ribosomal RNA is filed under the name uncultured bacterium. RNAcentral's name for it is "partial 16S ribosomal RNA". It matches the Rfam family "Bacterial small subunit ribosomal RNA", at positions 524 to 776 of the family's 1533-position model. The record is from RNAcentral.
UACGUAGGGUGCGAGCGUUGUCCGGAAUUAUUGGGCGUAAAGGGCUCGUAGGCGGUCUGUCGCGUCGGGAGUGAAAACUCAGGGCUUAACCCUGAGCCUGCUUCCGAUACGGGCAGACUAGAGGUAUGCAGGGGAGAACGGAAUUCCUGGUGUAGCGGUGGAAUGCGCAGAUAUCAGGAGGAACACCGGUGGCGAAGGCGGGUCUCUGGGCCGAUACUGACGCUGAGGAGCGAAAGCGUGGGGAGCAAACAGG